GCGGGUGUGGCAUAGUGGCCGUGCACGACUCUUCCAAAGUCGAUACGCAGGUUCGAUUCCUGUCAUCCGCUC
This 72-nucleotide transfer RNA is filed under the name Mycobacterium phage ScoobyDoobyDoo. RNAcentral describes it as "tRNA-Gly". It matches the Rfam family "tRNA". Rfam says of the family: Transfer RNA (tRNA) molecules are approximately 80 nucleotides in length. Their secondary structure includes four short double-helical elements and three loops (D, anti-codon, and T loops). Lineage: Duplodnaviria; Heunggongvirae; Uroviricota; Caudoviricetes. The record is from RNAcentral.